GAUGAACGCUGGCGGCGUGCCUAAUACAUGCCAGUCGAGCGAACGGACGAGAAGCUUGCUUCUCUGAUGUUAGCGGCGGACGGGUGAGUAACACGUGGAUAACCUACCUAUAAGACUGGGAUAACUUCGGGAAACCGUAGCUAAUACCGGAUAAUAUUUUAAACCGCAUGGUUCAAAAGUGAAAGACGGUCUUGCUGUCACUUAUAGAUGGAUCCGCGCUGCAUUAGCUAGUUGGUAAGGUAACGGCUUACCAAGGCAACGAUGCAUAGCCGACCUGAGAGGGUGAUCGGCCACACUGGAACUGAGACACGGUCCAGACUCCUACGGGAGGCAGCAGUAGGGAAUCUUCCGCAAUGGGCGAAAGCCUGACGGAGUAACGCCGCGUGAGUGAUGAAGGUCUUCGGAUCGUAAAACUCUGUUAUUAGGGAAGAACAUAUGUGUAAGUAACUGUGCACAUCUUGACGGUACCUAAUCAGAAAGCCACGGCUAACUACGUG
Molecule: ribosomal RNA, 497 nt
Filed under: uncultured bacterium
Lineage: Bacteria
Description: partial 16S ribosomal RNA
Rfam family: Bacterial small subunit ribosomal RNA
Source: RNAcentral